GACGAAGGGGGCUAGCGUUGUUCGGAAUUACUGGGCGUAAAGCGCGUGUAGGCGGUUGUUCAAGUCCGGUGUGAAAGCCUUGAGCUCAACUCAAGAAAUGCACUUGAUACUGGAUGACUAGAGGACCGGAGAGGAUAGUGGAAUUCCCAGUGUAGUGGUGAAAUACGUAGAGAUUGGGAAGAACACCAGUGGCGAAGGCGGCUAUCUGGACGGUUUCUGACGCUAAGACGCGAAAGCGUGGGGAGCAAACAGG
Molecule: ribosomal RNA, 253 nt
Filed under: uncultured bacterium
Lineage: Bacteria
Description: partial 16S ribosomal RNA
Rfam family: Bacterial small subunit ribosomal RNA
Source: RNAcentral